AAAAAUCCCUUGCAAUGAACGAAAAAAAGGAUUGGAGGGUUUCAUUUAAAUUUGUUAUCGGAUUACCCUGACUGUCAUUCAGGACAAAAGCGACAGUCUAAACGGAAACAACCGGCGUUACGAAGAAUCUACUGAGCGGCCGGUCAGUAAAGUGUUGAAAGUAUUAUCCGCAAAAGGUAUUUGAACACAAUUUUGGAUAGCAACUUAUAAUUUGCAAUUUUCUAAAUUCGGAUUGCCCAUAUUCGAAUUUUAAUUCCAAAAUAUUCAUCAUCAAACCUAACAAAAGUGUGUGCAUUCAGCCAGUGCAAUAAUGACACGUAAUAUAUUCCAUUUACCGUUUCUUCUUUUUUCCAGUAAUCAGUGAAGAUAAUUCCAAGCAUCCUAAGAAACCAUUGCCACUUCAUGAUGGUUCGAUUUUGCCGCUUCUACUUCUGUAGUAUACCCAGAUGCUCUCCUUAUUGUCCGAAUUCUCUAAAAAAAAUCUAGCGGGAGUAUUAAUCAAAUCUUAUUAUCUAAUUCAAAUUCGAAAUACUUAACCAACAUGACGAUGUUCCAUUUCUACUUUUCUUAAGCAAUACAGUUUUAUUUUAUUUAGAUAUUACUAUACGCCGGAAUUACCCUUCAUGCAGAAAGUUUCGCCGUAAAGCGGUUUCGGCGUGCAGCAAGCUUUGUGGGAUAUGUACUUUUCAGCCUAAAUAUUUCGUCUUUGGUGAGAAAAGUACCCAUGUUUCUAAGAAUAUGGAAAUGUAUUGAAUAUCACGAUAUCGGGGUGAUGACAUGCAGCACUUCAAAUUAUGUGGGUCCAAAAACUUUAUAUUCCAGUCGUAGCUUGAAAUGCGUUUUGAGUUUCAAUCUGAUUUCGAAUUUCCCGUUAUCCUUCUAUCUAGUUGAAUUCUCAAAUAUUUCUUCUAGUUUAUUCUAGUGCUGGAUGAAUAUACAUAAAAUUGAGUUCGAUAGAAAGGCAUGACCGUUUGUUAGGCGUGAAAGUAAGAUAAUAAGCUAGGCACCUUCUGAUAGACCAGCUACAGUCUGGAAAUCACAUUGGAGAGACACGAUGGAUUGGUCUGUUAAGUGUGUUCACUGUUUUCCAUAGAGUUUAGUUUGGAGUCACAUUUUGAUCUACAUUUUCUGAAAAACAAUCAAGAUCCUCGUCCGUCUGCUUCGAAGCUUUUCGUAGAUCCCUUAAAUGUGCCUUCCACUGGUUUUCAGAGACGAUGACGAUACAAAAAAUUCACGGCUUGCUUUGGUACAUUUCCAGGACUGUGAAACUAUGCACAUCCAUUAAUGUUGUCUGGCGUCCUGACCUACGCCAUCGUUCCAUCUGAGACAGAGUCUGGCACGUGUUCUUUUUUUUACCAUAGAUAUUGACCUUAUGGACUUUCUGGGCAGAAUCAUCCACACCCAUACGGGUUGGUGACCUGCCCACCGCAACCUGUUGAGCCGAAUUUUAUCCACAAUAAAAUGGUCGUGAUAUGGGGGUAGCAGAGGCUGCGGAAUGGUCCAUCCUCAUAAAGGAGGCCAAACAUUCUUCGAAAGAUUCUUCUCUCGAAUGCGGCCAAGAAUUGGUGUAAGGACUGGCAAGAUCAUAGUUUUGUACAGUAAAAACUUUGUCGCUAUGGCACAGUAAAUCUAAUAGGCAGUACCCAUACUCAAUGAACCGGACUUGUAUUGGAAAAGGUUAUUCGUACACAUCAAAGGCCCCCAACAUCUGGCAGUAUCUACCUAUGUAUUAGUGCCUAUGAUGUGUACGGAUAAGCUUCACCAAUACAUUCGGAAGUUCGGUCCAUUGAGUGUGGAUACUUCUUAUUAGAUGUACCGUGGCUAUGGUGCGACAUUUCAACAGUUCUAGUAAGCUGAAAUAGGCUCUGUUGACAGCCAACAACCGUACGCGGAUUUCAUCAAAUUCAAUGGUUAAAUUUAAGGAAAGUGUGACGAUUGCUGGGCACUCCUCGUAUUUAAGUUGGAAGAGCAAUGCAAUUUUUUAGAAUAAAUAUUUUAUCGGAAUGAUAGAAAAGCAAGGAGAGAACGGUCGGCAGAAAAUUUUAAAAGCAGUUUCUCAAAAACAGUAAUUUUUCGAUUUAGGCUGAAUGAUUGAAAAGAUGAUUUUUAAUAUUACUUUUAUUCGGGUUUGAUGGCUGGGAAUCAAAAUUUCAAUUUGCUCCCCGUUUUCUUUAGAGAAAUUACUUUUCUAAGUUUCGUCAUUAUAUUGAAAAAAAACUACUUCUAUUGGGAAGAUUUGAGAAUGAUAGCAAAAUUUCAAACCCAUCAACCAAAGUAGGUCUGUAGCUUUAAAUGGCUUCGAAAAUGAGACCACGUAGACCAUUUGGUGAGAGAUGACGAUUACUAUGAAGAAAUAUUUUUCAGAAUUAUGGGGGAUAUACCUUGAAUUUUCUGAAAACUUAUUGCUAGGUCCAUGUAAAAACAAACUAUUAGCCGGAAGUCUGUUUUUCUUAACGCGCUUAACCAAAACAGGGAACUAAAAAUUAGUUCUUAGUUCUAAAUCAUACAAUUAAAAAUAAAACCAAUUUCGGUGUUUUCCCUUAAAUCUGUUAAAUUUAAGGAAAACGGAUAUGAAUGCCAUUAAAUAUGUUUUAAUUGCAUCCCUAAUCUUUGGAUCGAAGCUCCUUGAUUUCGCCCCUCUAUUCGUGUUCAACCUAGUUUUUUAUUUUAAUUUAUUUUUUUUCCCCCAAUACAAAAGCUUCUCCUCUUUGUUUUGUUAUUUCGCGUUAAAACUCCAUGAAUGCUUGUGCUAUGCUUCUGUACUGCUACUGAAUCUGAUGAAAACUGGAAUCAGCAAAUAUAUUAUAGCCCUUCCUCACCAAUUAUUUGCAAGCUUUGAAUAAUAAUAUUUUGUGGGUAUAAUUUGCCGGAAACACAUCUUGCUGUUGAAGUCUAAUUCAAAUCAAAACGAAAUUUUAGGCCUUUUGUCAUAGAUGAGAUUAUAUUUGUUCAAAACAAUUUGUCAUAGUAUUGCAUAGUUUAACAUAUGUGGUUAUUGUGGUUAUAUAUGUAUAUAUAAUGCACUAGUAUCUGUAACAGUUGUAAAAUAAAUUCAUUGAAAUACGUGAUUUUGCUGCUUAAAUCUAUUGAUCAAAGUAAAGUUUAACUUAUUUUAAGUACAGCAGAUUCGAGAUAUGUUUCGAGUUUUAAUCCAUAAUGAUAAUUUCUAUCAAGAAAAAACAAAAUUCAGAAUGAAUCAGGCUUAGCUUAAGCAUUUAAUUUAGACUCUCGAAAUCUAAAUGUAAAUGUCUAUUAAGGACACUUCUUAAAAAUUGGUAAAAGAUAGUAAAACUAACAAAAGGUUCAGGGGAAGACAACACUUUCACUAAUAACUUCGCAAACUUCUGCGAAAAACUAAUAGAAAUAAAACACCGAGCUAACAAAUUUCCACGUACUAUUCACCAACACACAAGACAACUUGCGCGUUGUGCAGACAGAACGAGAACUUUUUCCGAAAAUCUACAAUUAAAUCAUCUGCAGCGCUAUCACAGCAAAUUCAAGUUUUUAUUCUCUAUCACUAAAAUACUCAGAGAAAGUUAAAUAUAGUGGUCCCGCUGUUCACAUCCUAUUUUUUAAAGAUAGGUCUCGCGAAUGAAACGAGAGUCGGGCCAGCCAAUACCUCAAAAAUUAUAUUGCACACCAGUCGAAAUGGAAGUAAAUUUGUCAUAAUAUUUUAAAUUAAAUUUAAAUGUCAAAUACAUGUUUGAAAAGUU
Long non-coding RNA from Hermetia illucens (black soldier fly), 3713 nucleotides. RefSeq lists it as uncharacterized. The record is from RefSeq and is a predicted model, not a curated record. The transcript has 2 exons. Lineage: Eukaryota; Metazoa; Arthropoda; Insecta; Diptera; Stratiomyidae.